Long non-coding RNA from Astatotilapia calliptera (eastern happy), 1255 nucleotides. Lineage: Eukaryota; Metazoa; Chordata; Actinopteri; Cichliformes; Cichlidae. The record is from Ensembl.
CUUGAGAAUAUAUUUGACUGUGUUACAGACUAAGGGACAUUCUCUGCUGAUAGGUGAAGGUACAUUCUCUGCUGAUAGACGUCCACGCCUCGGAGGAAGCCGAUCCACGGAGUAGGCCCUGGAAACAGUUUCCUUCAAUUUUGGUGUCAGAAGUGGGAUCCUGACGAAGGUAGGCACUCGUCUUUUAUUUUAUAAGACUGUGUUAUGCCUUUCUCAGUGAUCCACAUAGAAACGGGAUACGCUGACGAGGCCUUCUUCAGUGGCCCACAUAGUAACAAGUGGGAUACACUGAGGAGCCUUCUUUAGUGGCCCACAUAGAAACACAGGAAGUUGCCUGUUGUUUUGUAAAUAAAAGCAGAAAGGACACAGGAAGUUGCCUGCUGUCAUAAACUAAGAAGUUGCUCACCAGCAGAAAGGACACAGGAAGUUGCCUGGGGUCAUAAAACGAGAAGUUGCUCGUUAAAAAGUGAGAAGUUGCUCACUAAAAACAUAAAAUUGCUAGCAAAAAAUCAAGUAACCUCAGGUGUGCCACAGCAAAAAUAAAAACUAACUUAAAUCCUUCAAAGCGUCUAAACCCCUCUGGAAAUCACUGACCAUGGGUCAGAAUAAUUCAAAGACCUUAGACGGGUCCGAUAAAAAAUCAAAAUUAACUGUAAAACCGAAAAAAAUAAAAUAUAAAAUCACAAAUAGCGGCUCAGUACGACUCCCACUUCCGGUUACGUUUAACCCACGCUCGCGAAUCAAUGAAGACUUCCAUGAUUACGUAUCCAGAACAUGCGGAAGUGCUUACGUGACUGAUUUCGUCUCGAACUUAAGAACUAUAACUUUAAUGCAUCCUAAUGUAUUUCCGGAGCCCUAUCCCGAACGAUUAUCGCCAGAAAACAGGAACAGCCUCUGUGUCAGCUGGACGCCUCAGCGGAGAAUGAACUCAAUAUCCAUCUGACUGGUAUCCCACGUCACACUCUGUGUCAAAAACAUGUGCAAACACCGUUACCAGACUUUUGCAGGCUAUACAGCUGCCAUCGGCAAUUGCAGUUGUUAAAACGAAGGGGCACAGCACGGCUGACACAGACGAAGCAGUGGGAAAUGCUCUUGCAGACGUAACCGCGAAAGCAGCUGCUGCCUCACAGCAACCACCCAGAAGGGAAGUAUUAUCUUUGCCUUUACAGCUGCCACUUGUCACGCUCCCAGACUAUUUAGAAACAAAUGUUGACCUAAAAUUCAUACAAGAGCAAGCCUCUGCCUUAGAUUACAC